Long non-coding RNA from Gopherus evgoodei (Goodes thornscrub tortoise), 98 nucleotides. RefSeq lists it as uncharacterized. The record is from RefSeq and is a predicted model, not a curated record. Lineage: Eukaryota; Metazoa; Chordata; Testudines; Testudinidae. The transcript has 3 exons.
GAAAGUUAAGAAUUAUACAAGUUAGAUGUUUUCGAGUCACCAGAGCCUGAUGAAAUACAUCCUAGAAUACUCAACUUGCUGACUGAGGAAAUAUCGGA